This 505-nucleotide ribosomal RNA is filed under the name uncultured bacterium. Its description in RNAcentral is "partial 16S ribosomal RNA". It matches the Rfam family "Bacterial small subunit ribosomal RNA", at positions 28 to 507 of the family's 1533-position model. The record is from RNAcentral.
GACGAACGCUGGCGGCGUGCCUAAUACAUGCAAGUAGAACGCACAGUUUAUACCGUAGCUUGCUACACCAUAAACUGUGAGUUGCGAACGGGUGAGUAACGCGUAGGUAACCUGCCUGGUAGCGGGGGAUAACUAUUGGAAACGAUAGCUAAUACCGCAUAAUAUUAAUUAUUGCAUGAUAAUUGAUUGAAAGAUGCAAUUGCAUCACUACCAGAUGGACCUGCGUUGUAUUAGCUAGUAGGUGAGGUAACGGCUCACCUAGGCGACGAUACAUAGCCGACCUGAGAGGGGGAUCGGCCACACUGGGACUGAGACACGGCCCAGACUCCUACGGGAGGCAGCAGUAGGGAAUCUUCGGCAAUGGACGAAAGUCUGACCGAGCAACGCCGCGUGAGUGAAGAAGGUUUUCGGAUCGUAAAGCUCUGUUGUAAGAGAAGAAAGGGUGUGAGAGUGGAAAGUUCACACUGUGACGGUAUCUUACCAGAAAGGGACGGCUAACUACGUG